AUCUGUGGUCACACCACUCUGAAUGCACUGUAUCUUGUCUGACCUCAGGAGCUAAGCAGAGUGGGGCAUGGUUAGUCCUUGGAUGAGAGAUUAUCUCUUUGACACACUGAUU
Colobus angolensis palliatus is the source of this 112-nucleotide ribosomal RNA. NCBI's taxonomy places the organism in Eukaryota, Metazoa, Chordata, Mammalia, Primates, Cercopithecidae. The record is from Ensembl.